Molecule: long non-coding RNA, 408 nt
Organism: Melanotaenia boesemani (Boeseman's rainbowfish)
Lineage: Eukaryota; Metazoa; Chordata; Actinopteri; Atheriniformes; Melanotaeniidae
Exons: 3
Source: RefSeq, a predicted model, not a curated record
GAACACUACAUUCAAGUUGCAAGUCUGCAGACGGUUGAUGCCAGAACUGACCAAAUGUGCCAGACAGGACAUUACUACCUGUCCUUUGGCGAGGCAAGAGAAGGCGGAGGACUACUGUGUCUCCUGUAACAUGUUGCACUACGAUCGAGACCAAAGCAUCAUUGAUAUGAUACAAUGUGACGUCUGCCCAAGAUGGACUGUGCUACCCACUUUGUUUGGAGCUUCAGGUGCAGAAAGUGCCACUUAAAUUAAGCUUUUUUGUUUGUUUGUUUGUUUGUUUUAUUGUCUUGUUGAUUGUUAAUUUGCUAUAAAGGCUAUGUUAUAUGUGAUCAAGUUAAUUUUCAAAUUUUGAUUUUCAUUUGCAUGGUGCAAAUGGAAAUGCCACUUUUAUGGGAGACAGUGUGAAGG